Molecule: non-coding RNA, 441 nt
Filed under: Ictidomys tridecemlineatus (thirteen-lined ground squirrel)
Lineage: Eukaryota; Metazoa; Chordata; Mammalia; Rodentia; Sciuridae
Description: Spermophilus tridecemlineatus (thirteen-lined ground squirrel) Eukaryotic large subunit ribosomal RNA
Rfam family: Eukaryotic large subunit ribosomal RNA
Source: Rfam by way of RNAcentral
UCUGUUGAAGUGGAUGCUCAUCAGGGACCCCCUCCUUAGCCAAUGGCACAAGCCAUCGUGGAAACAGUGCCAGGUGGGUGGUUUGACUGGGGUGGAACACCUGCCAAACAGUGAUGCCGGUGUCCUAAGCCAGCUCAGGAGGGCAGAAACCUCCUGUGGUGCCGAAGGGCAAAAGCUCACUAAGUCCUGGUUUUUCAGGAUGAAUACAGGCGGUGAAAGCAGAGCCUCAUGAUCCUUCUGAUCUUCUGGCUUUCAGCAGGAGGCAUCCGAGAAGUUGCACAGGGAUAAGUGGCUGACGGCAGCCAAGCCUUCAUAGAGCUGUCACUGUUGGACCUGGCCGUCUGCUCUUCCUUUCGAUGUGCAGCAGAAUUUGUCAACCACUGGACUGUGUGUCUAGUGACCGUGAAUGUGAGCUGGGUUUAGACCAUCCUGAGACAGGAC